Herpailurus yagouaroundi (jaguarundi) is the source of this 1214-nucleotide long non-coding RNA. RefSeq lists it as uncharacterized. The record is from RefSeq and is a predicted model, not a curated record. NCBI's taxonomy places the organism in Eukaryota, Metazoa, Chordata, Mammalia, Carnivora, Felidae. The transcript is spliced from 3 exons.
GUAGAGCGUUGGUUAGCUGGAAGGGACUAGGAGAGUCCGCUCCUCCGUAAGGGAUCAGGAGCGUGCAAAGCCCCAGCAAAGAAUGGCCCCAGAUUUCAUCUGCAAAGCUCAGAGAAGCAUCUCACUCCCUGAGGUUCAGGUACCGAGGUACCAGGGGACACAUCCAACAGCCAGUAAGAUAAUAGGGAUCAAGAAGUCCUCCGCGUAGAGGAACCUGCCACAUCCUUCUCAACAACAGAAGAUUCCAAGUCCACUCAGCCCCGGCCACGUCUAUUGUUCGAGUGUCUCUCCUUCACACAGGAGGAUGACUAUUUCUUUAGGUGCGUGUAAGUCUGGGAGAAUCACACGCCGCUCCCUCUCCCGAGGUGUGAGUGCGGACUCCCUGACCACCCACGAUGUGCUCAGUCUCUUUUCCAAGGGAGAGAAAAGAAACAAAUUGCCCCUUGCACUUCCUGAAACUGAACAAAGGUGCCAUCGCUAAAGAUUAGCAAGACGCUACGGAUUUGCACUGAACCCCACCUGCUCUGUGAAAACCCCACGGUUUUCUCACAAUCCCACUCAAGCUGCUGAGCAAUUGGGCCUUGUCUUCUGAGUGUGGUUAUUCGUCAGCUUGACUUCUGUUUGCUCUGCCGGUUCAUUGUUUUCUCAUGCCAUGCCACAGCCAGCGACCGGGAGAGGAGAAGGCAGAGCCUUGGGGCCGGCUCCCGGGCCCCUGCAGAGGGGCAGACUUUCCCGGCGGGCAGACAGAUCGGCGGCGACCCUAGGUGUGUUUUGAACGUGUGCCCGGGGCUCACGGAGCCUGAUGCAGCUUUGCUGCUGUGUGGGGUGGACUGCGGCAGUGUGAGCCUUGUGUCUGCAGAGGGGACAUGAGGACAUCUGGACCGUGUCCCUGCGAGCAGGGCUUUUGCUGCAGGCCUUUGAAAAUCCUGCCGCAACGGCCCCCAGCGCCUUGGAACUUUCUCCCUGGAGAAUUUAGAAGAGCCGGUGGCCUUGAUUUCUUGGCCAUCUACAGCCUCCACACGUGCAGGGCUGUCCCCGAGCAGGGUGAUUCAGGGGGUCCAGGAAGCGUUUUGCACAGCCCUUCUCUCUAAGAGCCUAAAACCAGGACCGGGGUCAUGCAUGCCUCUCUCCCGUCCUCAGCCACCUAGCUGUGCUGUCUUGAACAAGUGACUUCAUCUCUCUGGGCUUCUCCCCGCACACACCGCACUCCCCCC